CUUAGCAACACAAGAACACGUGACUUCGGGUCAACAAGAUGUCGGACUGGGUUAAGAUGUCAAUGGGUGUCACACUUUUAGGACACUGGCCUGUGAUGGAAGAUGAUGUGGUUUUGAAUAAUUUCCAAUUAAAAGGGAAGAAUGGCUUAUCUUCUGGUAAACGCAUGGAGCCCUGGUGGCUAGGAUGAAUUGAAAGGAGCUCGGACAGCCAGUGAGGAGAUGGAGAGGAGGACUGAGCAUAACAGAGAGAGGG
Nerophis ophidion (straightnose pipefish) is the source of this 253-nucleotide long non-coding RNA. RefSeq lists it as uncharacterized. The transcript is spliced from 3 exons. NCBI's taxonomy places the organism in Eukaryota, Metazoa, Chordata, Actinopteri, Syngnathiformes, Syngnathidae. The record is from RefSeq and is a predicted model, not a curated record.